CAUGGAUUUUGGGUGGUUGGUAUCUAACAGACAAGAUCAUUCUUACAAAUGUACUAUCCAUCUUUUAAGAUUGGACUGAUCUAAAUUCUAUGCUAACAAAAUUGAAUUCUUCCUUCAAUAUCGGCGGAAUAUGUAUGUAAAGAAGUUAGAAUCCAUGGAUCAUUCACAUAUGUAUAAGCAUGCAUACAUCAGAAAGUGGGAGACAGUUGUGACA
Molecule: long non-coding RNA, 214 nt
Filed under: Brassica napus (rape)
Lineage: Eukaryota; Viridiplantae; Streptophyta; Magnoliopsida; Brassicales; Brassicaceae
Description: long non-coding RNA (BNAP_LNC022289)
Source: RNAcentral